This 206-nucleotide ribosomal RNA is filed under the name uncultured bacterium. RNAcentral's name for it is "partial 16S ribosomal RNA". It matches the Rfam family "Bacterial small subunit ribosomal RNA", at positions 111 to 334 of the family's 1533-position model. The record is from RNAcentral.
UAACACGUAGGAACGUACCCCAAACUGAGGGAUAACUGCUCGAAAGAGUAGCUAAUACCGCAUGUGGUCUUCGGAUUAAAGCUUCGGCGGUUUGGGAACGGCCUGCGCAUGAUUAGCUUGUUGGUGAGGUAAUGGCUCACCAAGGCAGUGAUCAUUAGCUGGUCUGAGAGGAUGAUCAGCCAGACUGGGACUGAGACACGGCCCAG